CUUCACUUUCGUUCUAGCCGACCCUAAUCUCUUCUCUCGUCUCUGAUCUCUCCCUCAUCUAGCCGACGAGCCCUCAUCUCAUCUCUCUCUCUGUGACGAAUUCCGGCCAACCACCGGCCCACCACCACACUUGACGAAUUGCAGAGUUCACUACUUCACUUCUUCCUCGUCCUUUCCUUCCACAACCCACGGUCCACCUUAGGCAUCCUCUUCCUUCUUCUUCUUCCUCCACCUCAGGUAAAAAAGUUCGUAACUUCCGUGUUUCCUUACUUGUAAAUUUAAGACUGUUUGGAUGUAUAUGUUGUUCUGUUUGAAUUAAUGUUUGGGAUUUAAGACUGCUUGGUUGAACUUUGAACUCGUGGGUAACAGUCACUUGAAAUGGAAAAAAAGAGAUUUCCGAAACGUUUCAGUUAAUAUGAUGUUUGGUUGGUUAGGUAUCGGUGGUUGGGAUGGUUUUCGAUAAGCCGAAAGGAACACUGAUGUUGGUUUCACUGUGGAUGACGGGACAGGGCGAAUCAAGUGCUGAAGAUGGUAACUUUUUGCAUUGUCCGUUUUGAUUCCGUUUAUAUUAUCACAAUGUUAAUUGUUUGAAGAGUUUAUUGCGUUUUGAUGUUCAGUGCAAUGCAUAAUCUAGCAAAAUAAGCUAGACAUGUGUUUCGAUUAUAUGGAUAGACGCAUAAUGAUAUAAGUUCUGAAUCUUCUAUGUUUAAUUAUCUCAACAG
Molecule: long non-coding RNA, 722 nt
Filed under: Malus domestica (apple)
Lineage: Eukaryota; Viridiplantae; Streptophyta; Magnoliopsida; Rosales; Rosaceae
Description: long non-coding RNA (MDOM_LNC010235)
Source: RNAcentral